AGAGUUUGAUCAUGGCUCAGGACGAACGCUGGCGGCGUGCCUAAUACAUGCAAGUAGAACGCUGAAGAGAGGAGCUUGCUCUUCUUGGAUGAGUUGCGAACGGGUGAGUAACGCGUAGGUAACCUGCCUUGUAGCGGGGGAUAACUAUUGGAAACGAUAGCUAAUACCGCAUAACAAUGGAUGACACAUGUCAUUUAUUUGAAAGGGGCAAUUGCUCCACUACAAGAUGGACCUGCGUUGUAUUAGCUAGUAGGUGAGGUAAUGGCUCACCUAGGCGACGAUACAUAGCCGACCUGAGAGGGUGAUCGGCCACACUGGGACUGAGACACGGCCCAGACUCCUACGGGAGGCAGCAGUAGGGAAUCUUCGGCAAUGGGGGCAACCCUGACCGAGCAACGCCGCGUGAGUGAAGAAGGUUUUCGGAUCGUAAAGCUCUGUUGUAAGUCAAGAACGGGUGUGAGAGUGGAAAGUUCACACUGUGACGGUAGCUUACCAGAAAGGGACGGCUAACUACGUGCCAGCAGCCGCGGUAAUACGUAGGUCCCGAGCGUUGUCCGGAUUUAUUGGGCGUAAAGCGAGCGCAGGCGGUUUGAUAAGUCUGAAGUUAAAGGCUGUGGCUCAACCAUAGUUCGCUUUGGAAACUGUCAAACUUGAGUGCAGAAGGGGAGAGUGGAAUUCCAUGUGUAGCGGUGAAAUGCGUAGAUAUAUGGAGGAACACCGGUGGCGAAAGCGGCUCUCUGGUCUGUAACUGACGCUGAGGCUCGAAAGCGUGGGGAGCGAACAGGAUUAGAUACCCUGGUAGUCCACGCCGUAAACGAAGAGUGCUAGGUGUUGGAUCCUUUCCGGGAUUCAGUGCCGCAGCUAACGCAUUAAGCACUCCGCCUGGGGAGUACGACCGCAAGGUUGAAACUCAAAGGAAUUGACGGGGGCCCGCACAAGCGGUGGAGCAUGUGGUUUAAUUCGAAGCAACGCGAAGAACCUUACCAGGUCUUGACAUCCCGAUGCUAUUUCUAGAGAUAGAAAGUUACUUCGGUACAUCGGUGACAGGUGGUGCAUGGUUGUCGUCAGCUCGUGUCGUGAGAUGUUGGGUUAAGUCCCGCAACGAGCGCAACCCCUAUUGUUAGUUGCCAUCAUUCAGUUGGGCACUCUAGCGAGACUGCCGGUAAUAAACCGGAGGAAGGUGGGGAUGACGUCAAAUCAUCAUGCCCCUUAUGACCUGGGCUACACACGUGCUACAAUGGUUGGUACAACGAGUUGCGAGUCGGUGACGGCGAGCUAAUCUCUUAAAGCCAAUCUCAGUUCGGAUUGUAGGCUGCAACUCGCCUACAUGAAGUCGGAAUCGCUAGUAAUCGCGGAUCAGCACGCCGCGGUGAAUACGUUCCCGGGCCUUGUACACACCGCCCGUCACACCACGAGAGUUUGUAACACCCGAAGUCGGUGAGGUAACCUUUUGGAGCCAGCCGCCUAAGGUGGGACAGAUGAUUGGGGUGAAGUCGUAACAAGGUA
This 1506-nucleotide ribosomal RNA is filed under the name metagenome. Its description in RNAcentral is "bacterial SSU rRNA". It matches the Rfam family "Bacterial small subunit ribosomal RNA". The record is from RNAcentral.